AACGCGAAGAACCUUACCUACCCUUGACAUGUUGCGAACCUGGCUGAAAGGCUGGGGUGCCGAAAGGAACGCAAACACAGGUGCUGCAUGGCUGUCGUCAGCUCGUGUCGUGAGAUGUUGGGUUAAGUCCCGUAACGAGCGCAACCCUUGUUCUUCGUUGCCAUCAAGUAAAGUUGGGCACUCGAAGAAGACUGCCGGUGACAAACCGGAGGAAGGUGGGGAUGACGUCAAGUCAUCAUGGCCUUUAUGGGUAGGGCUACACACGUGCUACAAUGGGGCGUACAGAGGGUUGCCAACCUGCGAAGGGGAGCUAAUCCUGCAAAACGUCUCGUAGUCCGGAUCGGAGUCUGCAACUCGACUCCGUGAAGUUGGAAUCGCUAGUAAUCGCGAAUCAGAAUGUCGCGGUGAAUACGUUCCCGGGCCUUGUACACACCGCGAGC
RNAcentral lists this ribosomal RNA (440 nucleotides) under uncultured bacterium. Its description in RNAcentral is "bacterial SSU rRNA". It matches the Rfam family "Bacterial small subunit ribosomal RNA", at positions 958 to 1397 of the family's 1533-position model. The record is from RNAcentral.